AGGAGAGAGAGGGAUUCGAACCCUCGAUAGUUUUUUUUAUGAACUAUACCGGUUUUCAAGACCGGAGCCAUCAACCACUCGGCCAUCUCUCCAAAAGAUAAUUUCUAUUUUAUUUUUUUUUCGCCAAAUAGAACAUAGCCUAUGAGUUAAUAUGAUCACUAUGUAGAGAAAGAUAUAGGGUGUGACUUUCUUUAUAGGUCUAUAAAUCUGCCUAUAUAAAUAAAUGAGAUACACGAUCCAGUAUACCCAUUUGUGAAGUCAAAAAGAACCUUUAACUUAAUGUCCGAUCCGAAUAGAAUAAAAGUGGUAAAACGAAGUUGUAAAUUAAGUAUAAGUCAUCUCGAAUCAACGGAUUCAUGAGAAAAUCCCUUUAUUUAUUAAAUUUUUUUAGUGAGUAAGAGGAUUAAAUGGUGUAUAUUCUUUUGUUAAUAGCUUGGAGGAUUAAAAACAUGACUAUUGCUUUCCAAUUGGCUGUUUUUGCAUUAAUUAUUACUUCAUCAAUCUUACUGAUUAGUGUACCCGUUGUAUUUGCGUCUCCUGAUGGUUGGUCGAGUAACAAAAAUGUUGUAUUUUCUGGUACAUCUUUAUGGAUUGGAUUAGUCUUCUUGGUGGGUAUCCUUAAUUCUCUUAUCUCUUGA
RNAcentral lists this transfer RNA (638 nucleotides) under Ionopsidium abulense. Its description in RNAcentral is "tRNA-Ser". The record is from RNAcentral. Lineage: Eukaryota; Viridiplantae; Streptophyta; Magnoliopsida; Brassicales; Brassicaceae.